Molecule: long non-coding RNA, 4748 nt
Organism: Meriones unguiculatus (Mongolian gerbil)
Lineage: Eukaryota; Metazoa; Chordata; Mammalia; Rodentia; Muridae
Exons: 2
Source: RefSeq, a predicted model, not a curated record
UUUUUUUUUUUGCCGGGUUUUUGGGUCCUGCUGUUUUUCCGCGAGCCAUGAAUGACUGAGCUUCAUCCCAAACGGCCUUUGUGUCGAGUGCUCAGGCCUGCUGACCUCAACCUCAACUUGAUCCCCAGAACGACAUGUGGAAGGUGAGAACCAACUCCCUAAAAUUGUCCUCUGGUCUCUAGAACAUUCUGUGUCGGGCAUGCAUCUACACAAAUGUGCACACAAAAUAAAAAAAGCCAGGUGUGGUGGUGCAUGGCUGUACCCCAGCAUGAGCAGGUACAGCGCCUGCUGACAAAGAGCCCCACUUUACCUCUCCACACUCACGGACAAACCCACACACAAUGAAAGAAAGGAUUGCCCCUGCGGGCCCAGCGGCCAGUGCGGCACGGGACACCUGUGAGCAGCUCUAGGUCAACAGGAGAAUCUCUGCCUGACAAAGAACCCCACUUUAACUUCUUCAACCACAUGACCUUAGCAGAGGAAAGUCCAGUUCACGUGAGGGACACGCCUGGUGUGUCACUUACGUGUGUCCAUCCAGAUCUAAUGAAGAGUCUAGGUGACAUCAACAGUGACUCUACCAGGGCCGACGAGGAUGAAGAAAGCAUCGUGGAAGCUGUGAGCGAUGACUGUUGGGAUGGCUGCUGUGAGCCUGACCAGCGGGAGCUGUACGUGAUUCUCCAUAAAAAGAUCAGGUUUGUACCUGAUCGAAGUUAAGGAAGAGGCGAAGAAACUGCCCCACACAGUUCAGUAAAGUCUUAUUGGAUUGACUACAAUGGCUCACUGAAACGUUAAAGAUUUAUUUACUUUUUUAUUAUGUAUACAGUGUUCUGUCUGCAUGUACACCUGCAGGCCAGAAGGGGGCAGCAGAUCUCAUUAUAAACCAGGUUAGUGGUUGCUGGGAAUUGAACUCAGGACCUUUGGAAGAGCAGCCAGUGCUCUUAACCUCUGAGCCUUCUCUCCAGCCCUCAAAGAAACACUUUUAAACCCUCAACAAACUUUAUUUACCAUGACAGCUUCCUGGUCAUGGUAGUGACUGGAUUAGUGACUGCAGCAGUACCUGCUUUGAAAAAAUCAAGUUCCUACUUGACUAUGAUUCCCUGAGGUUUUUAGGUGUUAAACAUUUAUGUGGAGUUAAUUGAAGAUAGUCAGCUGAAUAGCAUUCCAUUAUUCUACCAUGAUGUGAAUAUUUUACUGGGAAAUAAGACCAAUAAAUUGUUAAAGUUUAAAAGAAGAAGCAGAAGCAGCUGAUCCGAAACCUAAGCUGACCAUGACGAGGCGAUUGUGGGGAAAAAGAAACUAGAGCAGGAACAUGAAAGUGAAAGUGAAGCAGACAGGGUGGGGGUGGGGCAGCCCAGCUCUCCAGCUCUUUCAUAACAGCACCCUGUCUCCCAAACCUGCUGGGAGUGGCAGGCCGAGGGUGACCCUGAGGGCAGGAGCCUGUGUUAGACUCUGUGAGGGCAGGAGCCUGUGAGGGAGGGGCCUGGCCCAGAGCUUUCCAAGGAAAGCAGCAGUUUGGAAGGCAGAGCAAGCCUCUCCUGAAGCUGUCUUCGGCCCCCCAGGCUAGCGAAUCCCUAACCCCACGCCCCCUCUUCCUUUCUUCUUUGCCGUGUGUGUUGAAGGUGAAUUUUCUUGGUGGGGGAGGGGCAGACAAGUGCUUUUGUCACUCGUGUGCAGGGGAGGACUCCACACGCUUACUGCCAUCUACCCGAGGAGCCAGGACACUUGCACUUGAUUUUUAACCCAGAUCCAGCUCACACGUCAACCUUCCAUGCAGCUGUCUAGAAAAAUGCCCACUUGGGGGGGCACACGGGGUGGCGGGCUCCCCAAACCCCUAUUAUAUAAUAGCUUCCCGCGUGAGCCCCCAAGGCCCAGCUGUGCCUGGUCACGUGAAGGGGAUGGAGAAGAACAGCGUGAUUAUUGUGCAGUCAUGUUAAGAGGUGAGAGUGAGGGGCUGGAGAGGUGGCUCCGAGGUGAAGGACACCAGCUGCUCUUCCACAGGACCUGAGUUCAAUCCCCAGCACUGCAUGGAAGCCGCGACCAUCUGUCUCUCUUCUGCUCUCCGAGGGUGCCAGGUGUGUAAGUGAUGUACAGGCCCACAUGUAAACACGCGUAAAAUUUAAAGAUGGUUGUAAGAAUUGGCUGUGGGAGGAUGAACAUGUCCUCUGAGCUGAGCCUGACCACUGCCAAUUUGGGACAGGAGCCUUAGGAAGCUGUGGCUUGUCCCCUGAGGUGGGUAGUGAGGUGAGCUGCCCAAGCUGCUGUCCGAGGAGGAGGAACUCUAAUGGAGAGAAGAGGACUCAUGGGCAGCAUGACCGCUGUGUGGGGAGAUAAGGAGCAACAGGUAAAAAGGAGAGGAAAUGGAAUGAAAUGUCUCGCAGGUUCUACAGCUGGUGGGGUUCAAGUUCAAGUCUACGCAUGGCCAGACCACAGGGCUCCCUUAGGAAGAAAGGGUGGGGUCAGGGCUGGGAGGGCGGGUGACUUAGUUAAAAGAGGAAAAGUGUCUCCUAGCUGAAUGCUGAGUCCAGCGUCACAGGGGACUCACAGCGGCCCGUCCAGGGAAAUCCUCAGCCCGAGGAUCCCCUUGUGCUCUGUGACACGGUCGUGGGGAAACUUGGAGCCAGGCUCGUGGGAAAGCCCGCUGGCGUGUCUGCAGGCCGAGGGUGGUAUGAGGGCCAGCGCGGAGGAGGAUCUAACACCCACAGCCCUCGCUGUGCCCUGGUGAACUCUACAUGCCAGCGGACACAACCCGGAAUCGCUGGAGAAGAAAAUCUCAGCCUCGGAUUGGCCAGGGCCGUGGCUCGCGGCAUUUUCUUGAUAACUGGUGUAGGCAGCAGGCCCCCACGCAGGAGGUCCUGGGCCGUGUAAGAGGCUGGUGAGCGCGGAGAGCCUCGCCCGCACCCGGCAGCCAGCAGCCGGCCACGGCAGCUUUCGCGGUCCCCACCAAACUUCUCUGGCGGGGAGGUGAGUCCCUCUGUCAGCGUGUGGGACAGAAGCAGGCCUCUGUCCUCGGUCCUUUCUCUCGGCUCCUGUCUGUGCAUGUGACGUGAGCAUCAUCCCUGGCGCCGAGACCUCCCUCAGCGUGGACCGUUAGCCACGUGAGCCUUCCUGUCCCUACUCUGUUCCUGGCUGAAGAGUUUUUCCUCAGCAAUAGAAAGGAAAAGAGACACACUGCGGGCUGAUUCGCAGCUCGAGCAGUCAGCCACGCGAGACUCUUCAGUAGUGGGUCCCGGCUCUGCAGAACCGCGUCGUGAGCGAUGGUGAACGACCGAGUGCACGGGGAGCAAAGGUUAAUCGGAAUCAAAGCGCACAGUUCAGGUGCUCCCAGCAGCGCAGCUCUGGCCUUGUCACACUUCGCCGCGCAGCACCGGGCUUCUUGGUGCUGCCUGUGGCGACCCCACCCUACGCGCCAAGGAACGAUGCCCGAAACGCCUCAGCUUGGGUUCCGGGCUACUGUUUGUUAGGAACUGCAGUGUUUAUGGUACAUGAAGUUUUGUGCUCUCACAGAGGCAUGGUUUAAUACUCUGUCUCCUGCCUGUGGCUCCAGCUGUGAGCCUGACUGAGCCCAGCACCGAGCCUGACCGUUCCUGAAUGACCUCCAGCCCCAUGCCUGACUGUGCCUGACCGUGCUCCCUCCGUGAUGGCCUCGGACUCUAAGCCCUAAUAGGCUCUUUCUUCUAUAAGUUGCCUUGGUCAUGGUGUUUACCACAGCAGCAGAACAGUAACCACGACAGAUGGUGACCACCAAACAACAGGAACUUCCAGGGGCUGUGGAGAAUUCACGGCUACCAUCAUUUCCAAAGACAAAACCAUUUGCCCGGCCCACAGCCCUUUUAAAAAGAUUUACUUUUUUAUGUGCAUUGGCAUUGUGUCUGCAUUCAUGUUUGGGUGUCGGACCCCCUGGAACUGUGGUUACAGACAGUGACAUGCCAAGAGGAUGCUGGGAAUAUAACUGAGUCCUCUGGAAAAACAGCAGACUGGGCUUUUAUGGGGACAGAGCUUCUCUGUGUAGCCCUGGCUGUCCUGAAACUCACUCUGUAGACCAGGCUGGCCUCGAACCAUGAGAAUCACCUGCCUCUGCAUCCCAAGUUCUGGGAGUAAAGGCGUGAGCCAGCAGCACCCAGUGGGCAGCGAACACUCCUCACGGCUGAGCCAUCUCCAGCCACCGUCCACCCCAGCCCUGUUAAUGGCCUUGCACGGCCACCAAGGACGCUAGAUAGCCAAGGGCAGACAAGUAGAGUUGGAGGGUGCUGUGCCCUGUUCACGCCCUCCCUCAGCCUCUUUUGGAUCUGUAAGAGGGAUGGUGGGCUGACAGUGUGCUCUGCCUGCGACAGCAGAGCAAGGUCCCACGCUCAGCACAGGCAUCUGUGCACUGCCACUGCCUCUGCAGAACUCUGUGGUGUGACCUCGCUGGGAACUGAAUUCCAUUUGGUGAAGAUAAGAACAACAGGAAACGCCCAGCCCAGAAUCCCAUUCUUAGGUGCAGUGUGGGAAUCAAAACUCCAGUGUGUCAAUCAGGGCAGCAUGGAAGCAGCAAGAUGGAGAUGUCAACUCCUGCCUGUUGUUGGCUGGAGAGACGGCUCAGGGGUCAAGAGCACUGGCUGCUCUUGCAGAGGUCCUGAGUUCAAUUUCCAGCACCCACAAGGUAGCUCACAACCACCUAUAGUGAGAUCUGGUGUCCUCUUCUGUUGGGCAGGCACACAUGCAGGCAGAACAGUGUAUACAUAAUAAAUAAAACUAUUGUAUAAUGA